Molecule: long non-coding RNA, 1598 nt
Organism: Felis catus (domestic cat)
Lineage: Eukaryota; Metazoa; Chordata; Mammalia; Carnivora; Felidae
Exons: 3
Source: RefSeq, a predicted model, not a curated record
CUUUUCCAAGGACUUUUACAAGUGGAUUGAUGUUUGACUAAAUCAGACUCUGGACUGUGCUGCCAAUUUUCACUGCCUACUCACUGUGGGGGCUGUGGAGUAAUUCUAACAAAAAAGACUGUCUACUAAAAAGAAUAAAACUUCAAAUAGGAAAGACUGCAUCCCCUUUUCUAAUGAGGAAGUCAGAAAAUAAGACGAGAUUUGGCAAGCCCCAACUUGAGAAAUGGAAGCAAAGGAUGUAACUAGAAACCAUCUCAGAAAUCUAAUCAGCCUCACAAGCCUACAUAAAUCAGCAAAAGGAAAUUUGGCCUGGCAGAAGAGACAGAUUACAGAUCACAGCUGCAGAAUCUAAAAUUCCUGAUCAAACGGAUCAACAAUGUAAAGAAGCACAUACAUUUGUAAAAGGUUCAGUGGCUUUAUCUUGGGAUCUUUCUAAAUAAAGAAUCCCUCUACCAGAUCCAGAAUUUGUAAUUUAUUAUUAAUAAGAAUAAAUAUUUCAGUGUCUGUGCAUGUUCAUUUGAGUAUCUGAAGAGGUUAGUGAUGUACACUUAAAGCUAGUGGUUUGGUUUGCUUGUUGAUUGCAUAGUGCACACGUGCAUGAGUGACUACAUGUCUAUUAGUCUCUAAAAAAGCCUGGCCCUCAGGCAAGACUGGAUGUCCAUGAUUCUAGGAUAACAUUCAGCUAUCAGUAUCCCAUUAAUAAAUGAUAUUAUUUGCACACUUUGAGCCUUCUCCCGUACCACCAGACCUGUCUACCUAGCAAAUUCCAGACUCAGCUGAUACCAAAUAUGUUACUUUUAGAUAAGAUCUGUUCCAGAAUCUGGGCUAUUUGAUUUCUAAUCCCAGGAGCUGGGUCUUUCUUCCUUAAGGGCAGGCCAUCCUGUCAGUCUAUCUGGAUCUUCUCUACUCCCAUUCUGCAUCAUGAAGUCUAAUAUCCUAUAUUUCAUCCUCUUUGACUUCUGGUGUCAAAUGACUCUGCCAAUGGCUGGGAUUUUAGCCACAAACCUGGAAAUUGCAAGGCAAAUCUUAUCUUUAUAAAUACAAGACAUCAAGUGUGGAUAAAAUUUAGUAUAAUUUACCAAGAGUUCUAAGUUCCAAAUUUUAAAGUCUCGAUUGCAUUUCUAUUCCAUUACUUAGUUUAUAUACAUACAACACUCUCAUUCACAUUAUACCUGUUCUGUGUAGUUUUCAAGGGUGUGAACAUAAGGUAAGCAAUUUCCAUUUGAGUUGAAAGGUUAAUAUAGUAUGCCUAGAGCUUUAUUUUCUUGAGUUCCAAAGGGAUUACACCAAUCUUUGUGUCAAUCAAGACUUCACUGGAAUUAUUCAGUGUCUUCUUUCAAAUAGUCUGUUUUCUUUUCUGGAUCUCACCUGUGGUGACGCUGCUUUCUUAUCAGUUGUGCUAUAGUGUUUCUUAGUUUUGUCAUUUCAUACCAGAUUUAUACCUAGCUGUUUAUGGACCAGGUAGAGCCUGGCAUAGACCAUACAUGUGGGCAAUCUGAUUAGACUCUCUGCCCUUCAGUUUUUCUUGAACCAAGUUUAAUUUUGUAGCUUCUUGGCUUUUGAUAGGAACUGAGGUUGAUCAGGAGGAAAGGAGGACA